This 869-nucleotide ribosomal RNA is filed under the name uncultured bacterium. Its description in RNAcentral is "bacterial SSU rRNA". It matches the Rfam family "Bacterial small subunit ribosomal RNA", at positions 57 to 922 of the family's 1533-position model. The record is from RNAcentral.
GCAAGUCGAGGGGCAGCACGGGUAGCAAUACCUGGUGGCGACCGGCAAACGGGUGCGGAACACGUACGCAACCUUCCCAUAACUGGUGAAUAGCCUUUCGAAAGGGAGAUUAUUACACCGUAACAUAACGAAGCGGCAUCGCUUUGUUAUUAUAGGCUUCGGCCGGUUUUGGAUGGGCGUGCGCCUGAUUAGGUAGUUGGCGGGGUAACGGCCCACCAAGCCUGCGAUCAGUAACUGGUGUGAGAGCACGACCAGUCACACGGGCACUGAGACACGGGCCCGACUCCUACGGGAGGCAGCAGUAAGGAAUAUUGGUCAAUGGACGAAAGUCUGAACCAGCCAUGCCGCGUGAAGGAUGAAGGCCCUCUGGGUUGUAAACUUCUUUUAUCUGGGACGAAAAAAGGGUAUUCUUACUCACUUGACGGUACCAGAGGAAUAAGCACCGGCUAACUCCGUGCCAGCAGCCGCGGUAAUACGGAGGGUGCAAGCGUUAUCCGGAUUCACUGGGUUUAAAGGGUGCGUAGGUGGGUCUGUAAGUCAGUGGUGAAAUCUCCGAGCUUAACUCGGAAACUGCCAUUGAUACUAUAGGUCUUGAAUUAUCUGGAGGUAAGCGGAAUAUGUCAUGUAGCGGUGAAAUGCUUAGAUAUGACAUAGAACACCAAUUGCGAAGGCAGCUUACUACGGAUAUAUUGACACUGAGGCACGAAAGCGUGGGGAUCAAACAGGAUUAGAUACCCUGGUAGUCCACGCCCUAAACGAUGGAUACUCGACAUCAGCGAUACACUGUUGGUGUCUGAUCGAAAGCAUUAAGUAUCCCACCUGGGAAGUACGACCGCAAGGUUGAAACUCAAAGGAAUUGACGGGGGUCC